Molecule: ribosomal RNA, 250 nt
Filed under: uncultured bacterium
Lineage: Bacteria
Description: partial 16S ribosomal RNA
Rfam family: Bacterial small subunit ribosomal RNA
Source: RNAcentral
ACAUAGGUGGCAAGCGUUAUCCGGAUUUAUUGGGCGUAUAGGGUGCGUAGCCGGUAUUAUAAGUCUGAGGUUAAAGGCUGGAGCUUAACUCCAGUUCGCCUUGGAAACUGUUUUACUAGAGUGCGGAAGAGAUAGAUGGAAUUCCAUGUGUAGCGGUGAUAUGCGUAGAUAUAUGGAGGAACACCAGUGGCGUAGGCGAUCUAUUGGGACGUAACUGACGGUGAUGCACGAAAGCGUGGGGAGCAAAUAG